CUUUCCUGCACUGUUCUUGUAAUUGGGAAUGAGUCUCACAAGCUCUGAUGGAUUUUUUUUUAGAUGGGAGUUUACCUGCACAAAACUCUUUUUUUGCCUGCUACCAUCCACGUUAGAUAUGACUUGCUCCUCCUUGCCUUCCAUCAUGAUUGUGAGGCCUGCCCAGACAUGUGGAACUGAUCCCAUUGAGGAUGCCACAUUAUGUUUCAUUGCCAUGUCUCCAUAGACUCUUCUUGGUUGUGAUGGUUUCUCACGCUUUUCUUGGUUUUGAAGACGUUGACAAUUUUCUUCCAUUGGGAUUUGCUUGAUGCUUUUCUCAUGAUUACACUGGAACUGUGACUUUUUAGAAGGAAGAUCAUAGAGAUCAAAAUAGCAGUACCCUUUUACAUUUUUCUGAGGGUAUCCAGAUAGUUUUGUCUAUUAGCCACUAAUUGGAAAACAAGCCUGCUCUAAGAUAAGAAUCAGUGAAGUCUUGUGAAGGGGAGCUAAGAUAAAGGUAUUUUGUGUGCUGCCUUGCAUGGCAUGAAUUGGACCUUCAACUCUUUAGAGAGAGGAGAGGCAAAGUAAGGUGGCAGUUCACAAAGAAGACCUAAAAAUGGGGCCUCUUUGCUCGGCAAGUAAGAGUGGAGUAGAUUCUGAAGAACCAAGGUAAGUUGGGAAUGGUGAUGAGGGUGUGUUUGACAUCAGAAACCAAGACUGGUGACCCCAUACAGCGGGGAGUAGGGUCCACAGGGCUGGACUGGUGGGAGACUACAGAACACAAGGAACAUUUGGUUCUCUGGGUGCCUGGUGUGAGCCUGGGAUAUGGAAAUGCACCAGAAACAAUGCUUUUUUUAGGGAGAUUUUCAAUUUUGUGAGUAAUCUACAAAUUUAAUAUUUGUACCUUCUAUUCUAUUGAUUAAUCCCCCAUGAUAAACUUGUGGUUCAUGUGCUUGCGAGCAGAGAGCUCCAAGAUAACCUGGUAGAUUUUAUUUUCCCAGCUCAGCUUGGUCAUGCAAAUUGAAAUGUAAAAAUCUCUUUUGAAAAGCAACGCAUUUAAAAUGUCCAUAACCUUAGAAAAUAGUUUCAAUUCAAAAUAUUAAACCGUUGAUACGUCAUUACCACUGAGCAGCCCAAAGAAAUCCUGACAGAUGCACCAUUUGAAUCCAUAAGAACUAAAUAUUAGACUGCCUAGGACUCAUGGGUCUACUUUUUGAAAUCCACCUUAUGGUUACAAUACAAAUUGAGAUGAAAGAUGAUAAUAUCUAGGUUAUAACAUUAUUAAUAAUACAGAAAAAAAUGGAAUGGAAACAAUCUAUUAGGUCAUACACACAUACAUAUCCACUAUUUACAUAUACAGUAUAUAUUUGCAUGUUAAUAUAUGUGUGUAUACAUAUAUAUGUGUAUGUAUUUAUAUGUACAUUUAUGCAUAUUUGAAAAUAUACAUUUUCACAUACAGGCAUGUAACAUGUAUAUGUAUGUAUAUGGUAUUUUUGUGUGUAUCUAUAUCCAUCUCUAUAUAUGUUGCAUGUAUGGACACAUAGAGGCCAGAAAAAAAUAUAUCAGAAUGUUAAUAAUAAGCU
Molecule: long non-coding RNA, 1562 nt
Filed under: Homo sapiens (human)
Lineage: Eukaryota; Metazoa; Chordata; Mammalia; Primates; Hominidae
Description: HSALNT0070088
Source: RNAcentral